This 253-nucleotide ribosomal RNA is filed under the name uncultured bacterium. RNAcentral describes it as "partial 16S ribosomal RNA". It matches the Rfam family "Bacterial small subunit ribosomal RNA", at positions 524 to 776 of the family's 1533-position model. The record is from RNAcentral.
UACAGGGGGGGCAAGCGUUGUCCGGAAUUACUGGGCGUACAGUGCGCGCAGGCGGUCCACUACGUGCCGUGUGACAAACGUCGGCUUAACCGACGGAGGCCAGGGUACACGGGUGAACUUGAGGCAGAGAGAGGGAUGUGGAAUACCCGGUGGAGCGGUGAAAUGCGUAGAGAUCGGGCGGAACACCAGUGGCGAAGGCGGCGACCUGGGCCAAUAUUGACGCUGAGGUGCGAAAGCGUGGGGAGCAAACAGG